AGCGAACGCUGGCGGCAGGCCUAACACAUGCAAGUCGAACGAACUCUUCGGAGUUAGUGGCGGACGGGUGAGUAACACGUGGGAACGUGCCUUUUGGUUCGGAAUAACUCAGGGAAACUUGUGCUAAUACCGAAUGUGCCCUUCGGGGGAAAGAUUUAUCGCCAUUAGAGCGGCCCGCGUCUGAUUAGCUAGUUGGUGAGGUAACGGCCCACCAAGGCGACGAUCAGUAGCUGGUCUGAGAGGAUGACCAGCCACACUGGGACUGAGACACGGCCCAGACUCCUACGGGAGGCAGCAGUGGGGAAUCUUGCGCAAUGGGCGAAAGCCUGACGCAGCCAUGCCGCGUGAAUGAUGAAGGUCUUAGGAUUGUAAAAUUCUUUCACGGGGGACGAUAAUGACGGUACCCGGAGAAGAAGCCCCGGCUAACUUCGUG
RNAcentral lists this ribosomal RNA (433 nucleotides) under uncultured bacterium. RNAcentral describes it as "partial 16S ribosomal RNA". It matches the Rfam family "Bacterial small subunit ribosomal RNA", at positions 29 to 507 of the family's 1533-position model. The record is from RNAcentral.